CAGUAGCCGCGGUAAUACGAAGGGGGCUAGCGUUGCUCGGAAUGACUGGGCGUAAAGGGCGCGUAGGCGGUUUUGACAGUCAGAUGUGAAAUUCCUGGGCUUAACCUGGGGGCUGCAUUUGAGACGUCAAGACUAGAGUGUGAGAGAGGGUUGUGGAAUUCCCAGUGUAGAGGUGAAAUUCGUAGAUAUUGGGAAGAACACCGGUGGCGAAGGCGGCCCCCUGGGCCAAUACUGACGCUCAUGCACGAAAGCGUGGGGAGCGAACAGGAUUAGAUACCCCAGUAGUCCCUGUCUCUUAUAC
Molecule: ribosomal RNA, 301 nt
Filed under: uncultured bacterium
Lineage: Bacteria
Description: partial 16S ribosomal RNA
Rfam family: Bacterial small subunit ribosomal RNA
Source: RNAcentral